UGGGGAAUUUUGGACAAUGGGCGAAAGCCUGAUCCAGCAAUGCCGCGUGUGUGAAGAAGGCCUUCGGGUUGUAAAGCACUUUUGUCAGGAACGAAACGGUUUGGGCUAAUACCCUGAGCUAAUGACGGUACCUGAAGAAUAAGCACCGGCUAACUACGUGCCAGCAGCCGCGGUAAUACGUAGGGUGCAAGCGUUAAUCGGAAUUACUGGGCGUAAAGCGUGCGCAGGCGGUUAUACAAGACAGAUGUGAAAUCCCCGGGCUCAACCUGGGAACUGCAUUUGUGACUGUAUGGCUAGAAUCUGGCAGAGGGGGGUAGAAUUCCACGUGUAGCAGUGAAAUGCGUAGAUAUGUGGAGGAAUACCGAUGGCGAAGGCAGCCCCCUGGGCUAAGAUUGACGCUCAUGCACGAAAGCGUGGGGAGCAAACAGGAUUAGAUACCCCUGUAGUCC
RNAcentral lists this ribosomal RNA (449 nucleotides) under uncultured bacterium. RNAcentral describes it as "bacterial SSU rRNA". It matches the Rfam family "Bacterial small subunit ribosomal RNA", at positions 355 to 796 of the family's 1533-position model. The record is from RNAcentral.